AGAGUUUGAUCCUGGCUCAGAACGAACGCUGGCGGCAGGCCUCAAACAUGCAAGUCUAGGGGGUGUAGCAAUACAUCACCGGCGGACGGGUGCGUAACACGUGGGAAUAUACCUUUCGGUACGGAACAACUGAGGGAAACUUCAGCUAAUACCGUAUACGUCCUAGCGGAGAAAGAUUUAUCGCCGAAGGAUUAGCCCGCGUUCGAUUAGCUAGUUGGUGAGGUAAUGGCUCACCAAGGCGACGAUCGAUAGCUGUUCUGAGAGGAAGAUCAGCCACACUGGGACUGAGACACGGCCCAGACUCCUACGGGAGGCAGCAGUUGGGAAUCUUGGACAAUGGGGGAAACCCUGAUCCAGCCAUGCCGCGUGAGUGAUGAAGGCCUUCGGGUUGUAAAACUCUUUCGACGGGGACGAUAAUGACGGUACCCGUAGAAGAAGCUCCGGCUAACUUCGUGCCAGCAGCCGCGGUAAUACGAAGGGGGCUAGCGUUGUUCGGAAUUACUGGGCGUAAAGCGCGCGCAGGCGGCUAUCCAAGUCAGUGGUGAAAGCCCGGAGCUCAACUCCGGAACUGCCAUUGAAACUGUUUAGCUUGAGGACGAGAGAGGUGAGUGGAAUUCCCAGUGUAGAGGUGAAAUUCGUAGAUAUUGGGAAGAACACCAGUGGCGAAGGCGGCUCACUGGCUCGUUUCUGACGCUCAGGCGCGAUAGCGUGGGGAUCAAACAGGAUUAGAUACCCUAGUAGUCC
RNAcentral lists this ribosomal RNA (744 nucleotides) under uncultured bacterium. Its description in RNAcentral is "bacterial SSU rRNA". It matches the Rfam family "Bacterial small subunit ribosomal RNA", at positions 8 to 796 of the family's 1533-position model. The record is from RNAcentral.